GCGCGCUGAUUGGCUGAGGAGGCUCUCUUAAACGGGCGCGCGGCCUGUGAGGAGGACUGAACAUGGCGGUGGUCUGCGAGCCCUGGCGCGGCCCAGGACCGGGUCUGCGGGGGCCUCCCCGUCCUUCGGGGGCCAUCCGGCGGGCGCUGUUGGCCAUGACACUUCCUACCUCCUUGCCUGCCCGAGCCGCCGGCAGCGGCCACGUCCAAGCGGCGGCUCGGGGAGCGCCAGCGCUGCCCUGCGCAGGGACCCUGCCCGCGGGUCGCUCCAUCCCCUCCCCGAGACAUGUAAUGCAAGAACAGGCAGCCCCGGAGGUCCCUCUCUGAGGAAACAAUCUCUGGAGACAUGCCAGGGGGUCCUGCGCUGGUGAGAGCAGGGACGCUGCUGCUGCUGAGCUUGUAACAGCGAUUAAUGGAGCCACGUUGGACCAGGAGAGACGCACAGCCAGCAGUGUGAGGCUCUGCCGUACCCUGCGUAUUCCCAGGCCUCUGCCUCAGUAAGGUUUGAUGACCCAAACUGGAGAGGAAAAAGGGAUGGGAGUGACAAGAGGCCGGUUUUGGCUGUGCUGCUGCCUCCAUGGCAACCCACUGGUUCAUCUUGCACAAGCUUGCAGCGGUGCAAGAGCCUGUUGGAUGAGACUCAAUGAAUGUAAUCUCUCUGUAAAUAUAGACUGUCACACUUGGGACUGCUGCCUUUUGUUCUUGGUCUGAUUUGUGUCUUCCUUCUGUUAAUUUGCAGAAUGGAAAUUAAGAACUAAUUUUUCUACCUAUAAUAUGCAAUGGGAUUAGACUAGAUUGCAUUUUUGAGGAAAACAAUAAAAAAAUAACUAUUCUGUCAUUCUUAGAAGAGGCUGUGUAUGUCACUGGCCAGAGUAGUUCAGCCUACAGAAGAGACUGAUAUUGGCUUGUGUCACCUGAGCUGCUGCUAGGUCUGACGUGGGCAUGGCUUUGGGGACUGUCCUCUGAACAGAGCCAGCCUUGAGGGGAAAGGCCAGAGGUCAUUGAGGUGCCUUCUCAGAAUCUCACUUCUGUAUCGUUCCUCUCGAGAACUGAGCAACAUGACCUCCAAAGGUCUGUGUUUUGUGUUGAUAGGUGAGGCUCUGCAGAAGGAAUUAAGGCCCCCAUGUUUUGCAGCUGGUUCCAUGAGAAAAAGUGGUUUUUCUGGCUGUGAUUUCAGUCAUGAUGCAAACUGCCCAGGGCUGAGAGCUGUGGCUUUCUUGUAGGAAGGGAGGUUUGGGGAGUAAUGGCCAUGACUUGCUGAAAACUCACAAAGCUCCUGACCUGAAACAGAGCUCUUUCAAAAGAAGACUCCCUUGGAUCAGAGCAAGCUGCAGAAGGGAGAGCUAGUGGUACUUUCAGCAACACAGACCCAGCAGGGAGUGUUUGUGCUUCAUCAGGGCUUUUAUAGUGCUGGAUAACUACAGUCGUGCAGGGAAAAGGCAGUCCUGCCUCCCCCAGCAGGCUGGCACAGAGCUCAGCCAAAGCUCCAGACGAGGAGUUCCUGCUCGCACCAAGUGGGUGCAGCAGUACGCUGUGUGCUGAGACGAUGCUCGGGAGCCUCUGUGCUGGUGCUACAGCUUUGCUCUGGGGGUGAGAACUCCAAAGUUCAUCCCAAAUUCAUAAUGGAAAUGUGAAACUAUUAAUCUAGAGAUACAAUGAGUAGAAUAGGUACCACCAGUGAGGUCCCUUUCCCCAGGAUGUGCUGACAUGGAGCUCCCACAAAGGGAUGGUGUUAGAUAACAAUCCUAAUGGGUGGCUCUUCCAGGCAAUUUGAUAGAUGUGCGCUAUCAAGCAUUGUCAGAAAUAGCUCUGUAUACAAAGCAAGCGUUUAUCAUCACAGACACCUUGCAGGUGGUCACUAAUUCGAUGACAUUGUAAGAAAGAAAUAGAUAACAAUUUCCUGCUUGCUGAUAGAAGGGAUGAUUGUUUAGAACAAAUUACACCUGUCUGUAGGCAAUUUUUUCAUGCAGGAGUUUUUGAUUUGAAGGUGCAGGAUGGCACAUCCAACUCCUCCAGCUGACCUGUGUAAUUCCACCAGAAAUCCAUGUUUCCUGGGUCAGCUGAAAGCAUAAGAAGGGGAAAUGAUUUUUAGCAUCACUGAAAGAGGUAUGGAGGAGUUGGUAAGUCAUUUGUCUUCUCUAGAUUAGUGAUUGAGAGAACUGCAGAUUCAAAGGUGAAAUGCGUGUCUGGAAACCUGACGUUUUGGUGGGUUUAGUUGAACAGGCUGCAUCUCCAAAUCUAAUGUUCAAUUGCAGUGCCUGCGGCUGGCAGUAAAGAUAUUCUGCACACCAAAAAUUGAUCUAUUUGUGGAAUUUGAGUCACUUUUGAAAACACAAGUAAGGCUCAGGGGUCAGGGGAAUAACAAGAAAAAGGUAUUUUCAAAAAAAAGACAUUCCUUGCUUAGUCGAUAGGACGAAUUGUCGUAGUCACUGUGCACAAACUGAGUUUGCAAUAUGAGUUCCCCCAUCUCAGUGAAUUGAGAGGGCCGUUGAGAGCCGCAGCCAGCCGUGCCGAGGGCUGCUGGCAGCACAGCCAUGGGGUGGCCCGGCCGGUGGAUGGGGUUUUUUGGUGCGGGGUGAGGACUCCCAUCGCAUGCAGAGAAGUGGUGCCUGCGCUGAAGAACUGCGAGUCCACCUGUGGAAAGAGAAGGAAUGGAUCGAGCAUAGGUGAGCACAGGGAUUCAGCUGCCUCCUGUGGCUCAUCAAACCCCUCUCUCUGGGGUUGCUGAUGGAACGAAUGCUCUGAGACCAGAGUUGCAAGGCUUGAAUUACCCCUCACUAGCUGGGGACGCAGCCUGCCAACGCUGCGUAAGCUUCUUUAACUUUGCUUCUUUCCUCCUCCUUUCUUUGUGGGCUUCUUACCAGUGGGGUUGUUUGUUUGGUGUUUUUUUGUUUGGUUGUUUUUUUGCUAACUGAUGAAGGUUUAACAUUUAAUUAACCUGACUGACAUCAUUUAGCAGUUGGGCACUCAGUGAGGUAUAAUGUAUUAAUUAGAUGAUGUGAAUGGUUGUGGUUUUCCAGGCUGGUGUCUGGCCGCAGGGAGGCUGUGCUGUGCAGAGUUUGGUGAUGUCUGCAGUGUUUUGGGCAGCUGGACUCUGCCUGUCACCGUCCGCCGCGACGCUGUGUCCCUGGCAGGACCUCACAGCCUUCCAGCUGAUCCCGUGUCAUGUGUCACUGCAUGUGAUGGGGAUUCCAGGAAACAAAUCAUACGCUGUUGUUUGCCAUGCAUUUAGCUGCAGCUUG
This is a long non-coding RNA of Chroicocephalus ridibundus (black-headed gull), 3241 nucleotides long. RefSeq lists it as uncharacterized. The record is from RefSeq and is a predicted model, not a curated record. The transcript is spliced from 4 exons. NCBI's taxonomy places the organism in Eukaryota, Metazoa, Chordata, Aves, Charadriiformes, Laridae.